Molecule: ribosomal RNA, 468 nt
Filed under: uncultured bacterium
Lineage: Bacteria
Description: partial 16S ribosomal RNA
Rfam family: Bacterial small subunit ribosomal RNA
Source: RNAcentral
GACGAACGCUGGCGGCGUGCUUAAUACAUGCAAGUCGAACGGAAAGGCCCUGCUUUUGUGGGGUGCUCGAUAGGCGAACGGGUGAGUAACACGUGAGUAACCCGUCCCUGACUUUGUGAUAACAUUAGGAAACUGGGGCUAAUAUAGGAUAGGAGCUCCUGCUGCAUGGUGGGGGUUGGAAAGAUUCGGCGGUUGGGGAUGGACUCGCGGCUUAUCAGCUUGUUAGGGGAGUAGUGGCUUACCAAGGCUUUGAAGGAUAGGCGGCCUGAGAGCGUUACCGGCCACAUGAGGACUGAGAUACGGAGCAGACUGCUACGGGAGGCAGCAGUGGGGAGCAUGACACAGUGGGCGGGAGCCUGAUGCAGCAACGCCGCGUGCGGGAUGACGGCCUUCGGGUUGUAAACCGAUUUCGCCUGUACCGAGGCGUGAGUGACGGUAAUGGGUCAGGAAGCACCGGCUAACUACGUG